UCUACCACCAGAGGGGCCAGAGCUUCUGCCUCCAAAAUUUCCUCCUUCCUGGGUCCAAAAUUUGAAGACUGACUAUUGUAAAUGCCAAAUUCAUUACAGCUUCUACCACCACCAAAGUUGCUUUCAUCAGUACUAAAUCUGUUACAGCCAUCCCUGCUGUCAUCAUAGGGAAACCUAAGUUUCCUCUGUGACCAAAGUUGUCAUUCCCACCUAACCCACUUCCAUGACCACCGCCGAAGUUUCCAGAAUACUUUGACCUCUUUGGCUGGAUGAAACAUCAGCCAUCUCCUGCUUCAAUACAGCUCUCCUUACUUCACAGUCGUUGCCAUUCACAGUAUGGUAUUUUUAAAUUUUAUUUUUUUUAAGUUACUUUUUUAAAUUUAUUUAUUUUUGAGAGAGAGAGACAGAGUGCGAGUGGGGAAGGGGCAGAGAGAGAGGGAGACACAGAAUCUGAAGCAGGCUCCAGGCUCUGAGCUGUCAGCACAGAGCCCAAAGCCUCACAAAACAAAAUCAUGACCUGAGUUAACCUGAGCCUAAGUCAGAUGCUCAACCGACUGAGCCACCCAGGUGUCCCCACAGUAAGGUGUUUUUGAAUAACUAUCUUGUGUACAGAGUCAAGGUCAUCAAAUGUUAUAAAAGCACCGCCUCUCCUUUUGCCACUGCCUCAGUCAGUCAUGACCGACUCGAAUCACUUCAAUUUUCUCAUACUGUUCAAAAUAAUCUCUUCCUUAAUGCCACCAAUAAAAAAUCUUUUUCACAGUUAAGUGGGAACUGGGUCUUUGAGAAUCUUCUCUGGAGACAGUCCUCUUUGGAUCUACAACUCUUCCAUCUACCUUGUGUGGCCCUGCAUUCAUGGCUGCACCCACCUCCUCCACAGUGGCAUGCAUGACAAAGCCAAAGCCCCUGGAGCUCUUGGUGUUUGCUCUUCAUUACCACACAGUCCCCUAAGAGUUCCAUAUUGCUCAAAAUGGCUCCUCAGACUCUCCUCACUUGUUUCAAAGCUCAGACCUCCGAUGAAAAGCUUCAGCAGCUGAACAGGCUCUUUGGGAGACUCUGACUCAGACAUGAUGGCGGUGGACAGGGAGACGUUAACGGUGCUUCCUCAGUGGCUUCCAUGGGCAGAAAG
This 1126-nucleotide long non-coding RNA is filed under the name Lynx pardinus (Iberian lynx). Lineage: Eukaryota; Metazoa; Chordata; Mammalia; Carnivora; Felidae. The record is from RNAcentral.